CAUAGGUAGAAGGUUUGAGGGGAAAAUGCAGGGGGAGGAAGAAGAGAAGAGACCUGAUCCUACCACAGCUUAAGGCAUGGGUUAACAUCUAAGUGCUCCCUCUUUGCUGCAGGCACAAGUUAAACUUUG
Molecule: long non-coding RNA, 129 nt
Filed under: Ictidomys tridecemlineatus (thirteen-lined ground squirrel)
Lineage: Eukaryota; Metazoa; Chordata; Mammalia; Rodentia; Sciuridae
Description: lncRNA (ENSSTOG00000032553.1)
Source: RNAcentral